AGGCGAGUAAAGAUUUCGGUCGCUUUGGGAGGAGCUCGCUUACUAUCAGCUUGUUGGUAGGGUAAUGGCCUACCAAGGCUAUGACGGUUAGGGGGUGUGAGAGCAUGACCCCCAGCAUUGGCACUGAAACACUGGCCAAACACCUACGGGUGGCUGCAGUCGAGAAUCUUCCACAAUGGGGGAAACCCUGAUGGAGCGAUGCUGCGUGCGGGAUGAAGGCCUUCGGGUUGUAAACCGCUUUUGUAGGGGACGAAAUUUUUGACGGUACCCUUUCGAGUAAGAGGUUGCUAACUCUGUGCCAGCAGCAGCGGUAAUACAGAGACCUCAAGCGUUAUCCGGAUUUACUGGGCGUAAAGCGUCUGUAGGGGGUUUAUUAAGUUCCAAGUAAAAUUUCAAGGCUCAACUUUGAAUUCGCUUGGAAAACUAAUAAACUGGAGUCUAGCAGAGGUGCAUGGAACUUGUGGUGUAGGAGUGAAAUCCGUUGAUAUCACCAGGAACACCAAAGGCGAAGGCAUUGCACUGGGCUAGCACUGACCCUGAGAGACGAAAGCGUGGGGAGCAAAACGGAUUAGAUACCCGUGUAGUCCACGCCCUAAACGAUGAAUGCUAAAUGUUCGGGGAUUCGACCCCCUGGGUGUUACAGCUAACGCGCUAAGCAUUCCGCCUGGGAAGUACGGCCGCAAGGCUAAAACUCAAAGGAAUAGACGGGGAUCCGCACAAGCGGUGGAGCGUCUGGUUUAAUUCGACAGUAAGCGUGGUACCUCACCAGGGUUUGACAUCCCUUGACAGCCUUGGAAACAAGGUUUCCUUCGGGCAAGGUGACAGGUGCUGCAUGGUCGUCGUCAGUUCGUGCCGUGAGGUGUUCCGUUAAGUCGGGAAACGAACGAAACCCCUAUUGCAUGUUACAAUUUCUCAUGCAAGACUGCCCGGAUAUACUGGGAGGAAGGUGGGGAUGACGUCAGAUCUGCAUGGUCCUUAUACCCUGGGCGACACAGGCGCUACAAUGGCAGAGACAAAGGGUUGCAAAACCGCAAGGUGAAGCUAAUCCCAAAAACUUUGUCUAAGUUCGGAUUGAAGGCUGCAAUUCGCCUUCAUGAAGCUGGAAUCGCUAGUAAUCGUGAAUCAGCCACGUCACGGUGAAUAUGUUCCCGGAUCUUGUGCUCACCGCCCGUCACACCAAGAGAGUUGGUAGCUCC
RNAcentral lists this ribosomal RNA (1196 nucleotides) under uncultured organism. RNAcentral's name for it is "bacterial SSU rRNA". It matches the Rfam family "Bacterial small subunit ribosomal RNA", at positions 195 to 1421 of the family's 1533-position model. The record is from RNAcentral.